GGAGAGGUGGCUGAGUGGUCUAAAGCGGUUGAUUCGAAAUCAGCUGGAUGCCGCGAGGUGUCCCGUGGGUUCGAAUCCCACCCUCUCCG
RNAcentral lists this transfer RNA (89 nucleotides) under marine sediment metagenome. RNAcentral describes it as "tRNA-Ser". It matches the Rfam family "tRNA". From Rfam's summary of the family: Transfer RNA (tRNA) molecules are approximately 80 nucleotides in length. Their secondary structure includes four short double-helical elements and three loops (D, anti-codon, and T loops). The record is from RNAcentral.